CCUACGGGGGGCAGCAGUGGGGAAUAUUGGACAAUGGGGGCAACCCUGAUCCAGCCAUGCCGCGUGUGUGAAGAAGGCCCUCGGGUUGUAAAGCACUUUCAGUGAGGAAGAACGCCUGGUGGUUAAUACCCAUCAGGAAAGACAUCACUCACAGAAGAAGCACCGGCUAACUCCGUGCCAGCAGCCGCGGUAAUACGGAGGGUGCGAGCGUUAAUCGGAAUUACUGGGCGUAAAGCGCGCGUAGGUGGCUUGAUAAGCCGGUUAUGAAAGCCCCGGGCUCAACCUGGGAACGGCAUCCGGAACUGUCAAGCUAGAGUGCAGGAGAGGAAGGUAGAAUUCCCGGUGUAGCGGUGAAAUGCGUAGAGAUCGGGAGGAAUACCAGUGGCGAAGGCGGCCUUCUGGACUGACACUGACACUGAGGUGCGAAAGCGUGGGUAGCAAACAGGAUUAGAUACCCGUGUAGUC
RNAcentral lists this ribosomal RNA (465 nucleotides) under Vreelandella stevensii. RNAcentral describes it as "partial 16S ribosomal RNA". It matches the Rfam family "Bacterial small subunit ribosomal RNA", at positions 338 to 795 of the family's 1533-position model. The record is from RNAcentral. Lineage: Bacteria; Pseudomonadati; Pseudomonadota; Gammaproteobacteria; Oceanospirillales; Halomonadaceae.